RNAcentral lists this ribosomal RNA (482 nucleotides) under uncultured bacterium. Its description in RNAcentral is "partial 16S ribosomal RNA". It matches the Rfam family "Bacterial small subunit ribosomal RNA", at positions 28 to 507 of the family's 1533-position model. The record is from RNAcentral.
GAUGAACGCUAGCGGCAGGCCUAAUACAUGCAAGUCGGACGGGAUUCAGGAGCUUGCUUCUGAUGAGAGUGGCGCACGGGUGCGUAACACGUAUGUAACCUACCUUUAUCAGGGGGAUAGCCUCUCGAAAGAGAGAUUAAGCCCGCAUAAAAUCACAGCACAGCAUUGUGUAAUGAUCAAAUAUUUAUGGGAUAAAGAUGGGCAUGCGGAACAUUAGCUAGAUGGCGGGGUAACGGCCCAGCAUGGCGACGAUGGUUAGGGGAUCUGAGAGGAUGGCCCCCGAGACGGGUACCGAGACACGGACCAGACGGCUACGGGAGGGAGCAGUAAGGAAUAUUGGGGAAUGGGCGGAAGCCUGAACCAGCCAUGCCGGGUGCAGAAAGACGGCGCUAGGGGUUGUAAACUGCUUGUAUACGAGAAUAAUCCCAGAUACGGGUAUCUGGCUGAAGGUACUGUAAGAAUAAGGAUCGGCUAACUCCGUG